This 1006-nucleotide long non-coding RNA is filed under the name Anolis carolinensis (green anole). RNAcentral's name for it is "lncRNA (ENSACAG00000039688.1)". The record is from RNAcentral. Lineage: Eukaryota; Metazoa; Chordata; Lepidosauria; Squamata; Anolidae.
AAUGGUCCCUGGUCAAGUGGACCCUGGUCAAGUGAUCCCUGGUCAAAUGGUUCCCGAUCAAGUGAUCCCUGGUCAAAGUGGUCCCUGGUCAAAUGGGCCCCGGUCAAGUGGUCCCUGGUCAAGUGGUCCCUGGUCAAAUGGGCCCCCAUCAAGUGGUCCCUGGUCAAAGUGGGCCCCGGUCAAACUGGGCCUUGGUCAAAUAGUCCCCGGUCAAGUGGUCCCUGGUCAAAUGGGCCCCCAUCAAGUGGUCCCUGGUCAAAGUGGUCCCUGGUCAAAUGGUCACUGGUCUAGUGGUCCGUGGUCAAGUGGUCCCUGGUCAAGUGAUCCCCGGUCAAGUGGUCCCCGGUCAAAGUGGUCCCUGGUCAAAGUGGUCCCUGGUCAAAUGUGCCCCAGUCAAGUGGUCCCUGGUCAAGUGGUACCUGGUCAAAGUGGUCCCUGGUCAAAUGGUCCCCGGUCGAGUGGUCCCUGGUCAAGUGAUCCCUGGUCAAAUGGGCCCCCAUCAAGUGGUCCCUGGUCAAAUGAGCCCCAGUCAAGUGGUCCCUGGUCAAGUGGUCCCUGGUCAAAGUGGUCCCUGGUCAAAUGGUCCCUGAUCAAGUGGUCCCUGGUCAAAUGGGCCCCGGUCAAAGUGGUCCCUGGUCAAAUGGUCCCCCAUCAAGUGGUUCCUGGUCUAAGUGUUCCCUGGUCAAACAGACCCUGGUCAAGUGGUCCCCGGUCAAGUGAUCCCUGGUCAAAUGGGCCCCCAUCAAAUGGUCCCUGGUCAAAUGAGCCCCGGUCAAGUGGUCCGCUGUCAAGUGGUCCAUGGUCAAGUGGUCCCUGGUCAAGAGAUCCCUGGUCAAUUGGUCCCUGGUCAAUUGGUCCCUGGUCAAAUGGGCCCCAGUCAAGUGGUCCGUGGUCAUGUGCUCCCUGGUCAAGUGGUCCCUGCUCAAGUGAUCCCUGGUCAAAUGGUCCCCGGUCAAGUGGUCCCUGGUCAAAGUGCUCCCUGGUCAAGUGGGCCCCGGUCAAAUAG